GACAGUUUUAGCGCAUUUUGGUUGGUGCAACACUUGCAUUUUACUCGAAACAGAGCUGAUGGACAGUUUUAGCGCAGUUUGAUGGGUGCAACACGUGCGUUUUACUCUGAACUUUAGAGCUGUUACCGGUUGAUGGUUUUUAGCUGCAGUGUGGUCGGUGCAACACCUGCGUUUUACUCUGAACUUCAGAGCUAGACAAUUUUUAGCUGCUGUUUGGGCGGUAAGACACGUUGCUUUUACUCUGAAAAGAGAACUGUUAGUAGGCAGUAUUUAGCGGCAGGCAGGUCGAUGCAACACAUGUUUUACUCUAAACAGAGCACUGCUCUCUUGUAAUUUGUGCAUAUUUGUAUUAAUGAGAUUUAAAUGAACUUUUUCUUGUCAUCAAGGAUGCAGGCUGUACGUGUGAAGUACAGGGAUUGUCAGAAGUACAUUUGUUUUGAGGGGCAACGGACCUUCAAAUCCUUUUUGGAUUGUGUUGCCAAUAAAUUUGACAUUCCAACCUUGGACUUAAAAGUCUAUGAUGAAUCGAAGACUGAAGUCGAUGAGGAGGUGUUUGAGUUUCUUCUAAAGAAACAAGACCUUGGUGUGCUGGAGAUUUGUUUACCCCAAGACCCAAAUCCUUAUGAUUUGUUGAGCUCCUCUGCAAGCAGCUCCUUAUCAAAAUACAGUGCAGACAAUGAGGGGGACUCGGAUGACACCAUUAUAUUGCAGCAGAGUGCUACAAGAAAGACAGCUGAGGAUAAUCGUCUAUCUCAUAUGAUUGAAGACAUUCUGACGACCAAUCCUGGAGGAGAGAGGAUCAUGAAUGAGUAUGCUCGGACAAAAAGCCUAACAGAUGGCAAAAGACGCGAUAUGGUCAAGAUAUUGGUUGCACAAAUGACAAGUGAACAUGGGUAUAUGUCAUAUACUCAUUACAUACCUUACCACCUAACACAAUUUUUAGCAGAAGUUGUGAUUUACACAUCAAUACUUUUGUUCGGAUCUCAAACAGUAAAGUGUGUGUGUCUAGGACAAGUCCUUCAAGGCGUGUUAAAGAGGACUACUCAAAGGGCAUCAUUGCCUUGUUCCCAAACCUGGCCGAUCCUACUAGCAAGUUUGGUUAUGAGCAUUAUUACAAUGCAGAAGAUGGGAGUGGAUUUCUAGCAUGGAGACUGAAAUUUGUUCAAAGGGAAGCAUCAGUGGGACGACAGAAGGCCAUGUGUCAGUCACUGACAUGGGGUCCGAAAGCUGAUAGAUACCCCUUCAGAGAGGAAAACUGUCCAACAACAGAAUGCCUGUGUUGUGAGGCCAUUGCACUGAUGAAGGAUACGGCUGAGGAAGCAAUUGUAAAGGAGAAGAUGAAGCAGACGUUCGCCUAUCGCCAAAAGAUGGUUCAUGACCCAGUGAAGUCCUCUGAAAUAUUCACAGUGUUUCCAAGAUUCCAAGACAUAGCAGGAAUGAUUGAGCAAGAUUUUAGUCUGAUGUUUGGUGAUGCAACCUCUGCAAAGUUCCUGGAGAAGUGGCCUACUCUCUACAAGCAGAAAGUAAUUGACCAAAGCCGUGGCCUCACACAGACAGGCAACCUACAAGACCUGGUUCAAAAUGCUGAAUCCACAAGGGAAGUGAAAAAUGGAUGGGACAGUGACAUGUCCUCCAUUUUGGUCCUUGUCCACAUUCUUCCACCGUCACCACUUGGCCGCAAGAGACCAGGAAAAGUCUCAGCCAGACACGCCAGUGACCACAUUGUGAAGUUUAUCAAGACUGGGACCAGCAUCCAGGGGCAUCUGGAGAGCGUCAUGGAAAGCUCUCCACCCUAUCUGCUUGCUGUGGGGACCCAGAGGAGUGCGAUUCACAAGUACUUCAUUGUGAUUGACAAGCAUGCAGUACCUUGUAAGUCACCAGACUCUCUUGCCUGUUUUGAUGAGCUUUUCAAAGCUCAUUUUGUCUUUGGUACCUCGUACAACCAGUAUCUGGUCAAUGUGUACAACUUCUUGCAAACCACAAUUUAUGAAAUUGAUGUUGAUACCACUAAGGUUAAUCCUAGGGUUGCAGAGUUGAGGGCUCGGAUGCUGCAUUGAGUUACUAAAAGUUUUGAAGUUGCAAAGGGUUAAAACACAGCAUAGGAAAUAACCGUUUUCAUUUCACACAAACUUUUUCAUAUCAUUCAUCUAAAAUGUGUUUUGCUUGCAAAAGCCUCCAGGCAAAUGCUAAUUCCUUGACAAAACUCUAGAAGUUGGUCCACGGACUUUGUCCAGGAAAGACAGUUAGUCAUGCGGUCAGGCUGGUUGUUCACAAGUUUAUGCCACUUUUUCUGGGUUCAGAAAUCAUCUUUAUAAAGCACAUGAACCUUGUUCUGAUCAUGGUGAAGGCCCCUCUACAGCUGAAUAUGUAGCAGUAAGUCAUUUUGAUGACUUACCAUUAACAAGUUCCCCUUCUGACUCAGUCCUUGUCAAUAAGAGUCUUGUAGACAGCUGCGCUGCAAUCAUUGCUGAACUUAGUGGCAGGUGUAGGUGAAACCACCAUUAACUCUUUGGUAAUUUCCAUGGAAGAGAUAGUUGAUGAUAUUCAAGCUAAAGAAUCUGUGAAGUGUAUAUGUCUAUACAGGAGCCUAUUAAAAGUGACAUUAGGUGUAAAAUUCAUCAGUGUUUUGAAAAAACGUAAUCCUUUUGGUGUACAUCUAGACGUUCCGCUAGCGGAACACCUGCUCCAAUAUCCAAUGAUGGCCGUGGCGCGAAAUACAAACUCCUCUAAAAUCCGAAAACUUCCAUUUUUCAAACAUAUGACUAUUUUACAGCAUUUUAAAGACAAGACUCUCGUUAAUCUAACCACACUGUCCGAUUUCAAAAAGGCUUUACAGCGAAAGCAAAACAUUAGAUUAUGUCAGCAGAGUACCCAGCCAGAAAUAAUCAGACACCCAUUUUUCAAGCUAGCAUAUGUCACAAAAAACAAAACCACAGCUAAAUGCAGCACUAA
RNAcentral lists this long non-coding RNA (2952 nucleotides) under Salmo salar (Atlantic salmon). Its description in RNAcentral is "lncRNA (ENSSSAG00000114484.1)". The record is from RNAcentral. Lineage: Eukaryota; Metazoa; Chordata; Actinopteri; Salmoniformes; Salmonidae.